RNAcentral lists this small nucleolar RNA (107 nucleotides) under Ricinus communis (castor bean). RNAcentral's name for it is "Plant small nucleolar RNA R71". It matches the Rfam family "Plant small nucleolar RNA R71". From Rfam's summary of the family: R71 is a member of the C/D box family of snoRNAs containing the C (UGAUGA) and D (CUGA) box motifs. Multiple nearly identical copies of this snoRNA have been identified in Arabidopsis, and it is thought to function as a 2'-O-ribose methylation guide for 18S ribosomal RNA. The record is from Rfam by way of RNAcentral. Lineage: Eukaryota; Viridiplantae; Streptophyta; Magnoliopsida; Malpighiales; Euphorbiaceae.
AGUUCAUGGUGCGGGCAACAUUAGAGCAAGUCUUUGUACCUCUGCCAAGCAUCGUACAUGCUCUCGUCAUCGAACUGCACAAAAUAAGAUAUAUCAUUUCUCAAUCU